GAUGAACGCUGGCGGCGUGCCUAAUACAUGCAAGUCGAGCGAACGGACGAGAAGCUUGCUUCUCUGAUGUUAGCGGCGGACGGGUGAGUAACACGUGGAUAACCUACCUAUAAGACUGGGAUAACUUCGGGAAACCGGAGCUAAUACCGGAUAAUAUUUUGAACCGCAUGGUUCAAAAGUAAAAGACGGUCUUGCUGUCACUUAUAGAUGGAUCCGCGCUGCAUUAGCUAGUUGGUAAGGUAACGGCUUACCAAGGCAACGAUGCAUAGCCGACCUGAGAGGGUGAUCGGCCACACUGGAACUGAGACACGGUCCAGACUCCGACGGGAGGCAGCAGUAGGGAAUCUUCCGCAAUGGGCGAAAGCCUGACGGAGCAACGCCGCGGGAGUGAUGAAGGUCUUCGGAUCGUAAAACUCUGUUAUUAGGGAAGAACAUAUGUGUAAGUAACUGUGCACAUCUUGACGGUACCGAAUCAGAAAGCCACGGCUAACUACGUG
RNAcentral lists this ribosomal RNA (497 nucleotides) under uncultured bacterium. RNAcentral's name for it is "partial 16S ribosomal RNA". It matches the Rfam family "Bacterial small subunit ribosomal RNA", at positions 28 to 507 of the family's 1533-position model. The record is from RNAcentral.